This 1006-nucleotide ribosomal RNA is filed under the name Microbacterium sp. JZ8. RNAcentral's name for it is "bacterial SSU rRNA". It matches the Rfam family "Bacterial small subunit ribosomal RNA", at positions 493 to 1485 of the family's 1533-position model. Lineage: Bacteria; Bacillati; Actinomycetota; Actinomycetes; Micrococcales; Microbacteriaceae. The record is from RNAcentral.
CCGGCCGGAACCUGAUGAUGCAGCAGCAACGCGCGGUAAUACGUAGGGCGCAAGCGUUAUCCGGAAUUAUUGGGCGUAAAGAGCUCGUAGGCGGUUUGUCGCGUCUGCUGUGAAAUCCCGAGGCUCAACCUCGGGCCUGCAGUGGGUACGGGCAGACUAGAGUGCGGUAGGGGAGAUUGGAAUUCCUGGUGUAGUCGGUGGAAUGCGCAGAUAUCAGGAGGAACACCGAUGGCGAAGGCAGAUCUCUGGGCCGUAACUGACGCUGAGGAGCGAAAGGGUGGGGAGCAAACAGGCUUAGAUACCCUGGUAGUCCACCCCGUAAACGUUGGGAACUAGUUGUGGGGUCCAUUCCACGGAUUCCGUGACGCAGCUAACGCAUUAAGUUCCCCGCCUGGGGAGUACGGCCGCAAGGCUAAAACUCAAAGGAAUUGACGGGGACCCGCACAAGCGGCGGAGCAUGCGGAUUAAUUCGAUGCAACGCGAAGAACCUUACCAAGGCUUGACAUAUACGAGAACGGGCCAGAAAUGGUCAACUCUUUGGACACUCGUAAACAGGUGGUGCAUGGUUGUCGUCAGCUCGUGUCGUGAGAUAUGUUGGGUUAAGUCCCGCAACGAGCGCAACCCUCGUUCUAUGUUGCCAGCACGUAAUGGUGGGAACUCAUGGGAUACUGCCGGGGUCAACUCGGAGGAAGGUGGGGAUGACGUCAAAUCAUCAUGCCCCUUAUGUCUUGGGCUUCACGCAUGCUACAAUGGCCGGUACAAAGGGCUGCAAUACCGCGAGGUGGAGCGAAUCCCAAAAAGCCGGUCCCAGUUCGGAUUGAGGUCUGCAACUCGACCUCAUGAAGUCGGAGUCGCUAGUAAUCGCAGAUCAGCAACGCUGCGGUGAAUACGUUCCCGGGUCUUGUACACACCGCCCGUCAAGUCAUGAAAGUCGGUAACACCUGAAGCCGGUGGCCUAACCCUUGUGGAGGGAGCCGUCGAAGGUGGGAUCGGUAAUUAAACACAU